UCCGUUGUAGUCUAGUUGGUUAGGAUACACGGCUCUUACCCGAGAGACAUGGGUUCGAUUCCUAGCAAUGGAA
This 73-nucleotide transfer RNA is filed under the name Ipomoea nil (Japanese morning glory). It matches the Rfam family "tRNA". From Rfam's summary of the family: Transfer RNA (tRNA) molecules are approximately 80 nucleotides in length. The record is from Rfam by way of RNAcentral. Lineage: Eukaryota; Viridiplantae; Streptophyta; Magnoliopsida; Solanales; Convolvulaceae.